CCUACGGGUGGCAGCAGUGGGGAAUAUUGCACAAUGGGGGAAACCCUGAUGCAGCGACGCCGCGUGAGUGAAGAAGUAUUUCGGUACGUAAAGCUCUAUCAGCAGGGAAGAAAAAAAGUCCUUUUGAAUUUGGGCGGUACCUGGCCAAAAAACCCCGGCUAACGACGUGCCAGCAGCCCCGGGAAGACGUAGGGGGCAAGCGUUAUCCGGAUUUACUGGGUGUAAAGGGAGCGUAGACGGCAGCGCAAGGCUGGAGUGAAAUGCCGGGGCCCAACCCCGGAACUGCUUUGGAAACUGUGCAGCUGGAGUGCAGGAGAGGGAAGCGGAAUGCCUAGUGGAGCGGUGAAAUGCGUAGAUAUUAGGAGGAACACCAGUGGCGAAGGCGGCUUACGGGACUGUAACUGACGUUGAGGCUCGAAAGCGUGGGGAGCAAACAGGAUUAGAUACCCGAGUAGUC
This 457-nucleotide ribosomal RNA is filed under the name uncultured bacterium. Its description in RNAcentral is "partial 16S ribosomal RNA". It matches the Rfam family "Bacterial small subunit ribosomal RNA", at positions 338 to 795 of the family's 1533-position model. The record is from RNAcentral.